RNAcentral lists this ribosomal RNA (468 nucleotides) under uncultured bacterium. RNAcentral describes it as "partial 16S ribosomal RNA". It matches the Rfam family "Bacterial small subunit ribosomal RNA", at positions 28 to 507 of the family's 1533-position model. The record is from RNAcentral.
GACGAACGCUGGCGGCGUGCUUAACACAUGCAAGUCGAACGGAAAGGCCCUGCUUUUGUGGGGUGCUCGAGUGGCGAACGGGUGAGUAACACGUGAGUAACCUGCUCUUGACUUUGGGAUAACUUCAGGAAACUGGGGCUAAUACCGGAUAGGAGCUCCUGCUGCAUGGAGGGGGUUGGAAAGUUUCGGCGGUUGGGGAUGGACUCGCGGCUUAUCAGCUUGUUGGUUGGGUAGUGGCUUACCAAGGCUUUGACGGGUAGCCGGCCUGAGAGGGUGACCGGCCACAUUGGGACUGAGAUACGGCCCAGACUCCUACGGGAGGCAGCAGUGGGGAAUAUUGCACAAUGGGCGGAAGCCUGAUGCAGCAACGCCGCGUGCGGGAUGACGGCCUUCGGGUUGUGAACCGCUUUCGCCUGUGACGAAGCGUGAGUGACGGUAAUGGGUAAAGAAGCACCGGCUAACUACGUG